GAGGUAGUGACAAUAAAUCACAAUGCGGAACAAUGUUUUGCAAUUGGAUUGAGAACAACGUACAAACCUUAUCGAUAAACAAUUGGAGGGCAAGUCUGGUGCCAGCAGCCGCGGUAAUUCCAGCUCCAAUAGCGUAUAUUAACGUUGUUGCAGUUAAAAAGCUCGUAGUUGAAAUGAAGGGUAGUUGUGUAAUGAAUACAUUCGUGUAUUUUGUUAUUCUACUACCCUCCUUCUAAAUUCGAUAUAUGAGUAUUAAUUUACUUGUAUAUGGUUUUAGACGUUUACUGUGAGAAAAUUAGAGUGUUCAAAGCAGGCAUUUGCUUGAAUAUAUUAGCAUGGAAUAAUCAUGUAUGAUUUUCAUGAUGUAUUUGAUUGGUUUGGUUCAUGAGAAUAAGAUUAAAAGGGACAGUUGGGGGUAUUCAUAUUCAAUAGUCAGAGGUGAAAUUCUCGGAUUUAUGGAAGAUGAACAAGUGCGAAAGCAUUUACCAAGGAUGUUUU
RNAcentral lists this ribosomal RNA (498 nucleotides) under uncultured Blastocystis sp. Its description in RNAcentral is "SSU rRNA". It matches the Rfam family "Eukaryotic small subunit ribosomal RNA", at positions 461 to 970 of the family's 1831-position model. Lineage: Eukaryota; Bigyra; Opalinata; Blastocystidae. The record is from RNAcentral.